CCACUAACUACUCCGUACAAGAGAUUCGUAUCCACUCCCAUACAACUACACGAGUGCGUCUGGGUAGGCCACAGCGCUCAGUUUUUGUUUGGCAGAUAACUUGGGAAAUUUAAAUUUAUUUAAAUUUUUUAACUUCCCGCUGUCGUGUUUAUUUAGCUAUCGUUCCUGAAGCUUCUUUCUUCCGUCUCCCUACUGUUCGUUCUGAUUGCGUAUUGCCUGUAUCAGGCAUAGAGCUACGCUCUCACACUCUCUUUGUCCUCCAUUAACCUGUUCCGCUCUCCUUCAUUUCUUUUGCGAAUUCGAUUUCCUACCGCCAAUUCAAUCGAAGGACAAAAAGGCACCAUGACCCCGAAAUUGGCCGCAGCACGGUAUGGCAAGGAUAAUGUCCGCGUCUACAAGGUGCAUCGCAACGAGGAGACAGGCGUCCACACUGUCGUUGAGACGACAGUAUGCGUCCUGCUCGAAGGGGAUAUCGAGACGUCUUACACCAAAGCCGAUAACAGCGUCGUCGUCGCCACGGACUCCAUGAAAAACACAAUUUACAUCAUGGCCAAGCUACACCCGGUGACUCCGCCGGAACUCUUCGCCUCCAUCCUCGGUUCCCACUUUACAACCACAUACCCGCACAUCCACACCGCGCACGUCGACAUCGUCACCCUCCGCUGGACACGUAUGACAUUUGAUGGAAAACCACAUCCCCACUCCUUCCUCCGUGACGGUACGGAAACCCGCAACGUCUCCGCCACCGUCUCCGAAGGAAACAGCGGCAGCAAAGACAUCACCUCACUACCCAGUACAAUCAGCCUAACCUCCUCUAUCUCGGGCCUCUCCGUCCUAAAAUCCACAAACUCACAAUUCCACAACUUCAUCCGGGACGAGUACACCACGCUCCCCGAAACCUGGGACCGGGUGCUAAGCACCAACGUCGACGCCAACUGGACGUGGCAGCCCUUCACGUCCGUCGACGCCGUGAAGCGCGCGGUACCCCAGUUCGAUGAAACCUGGCGCGCCGCGCGGGACAUCACGCUGCGCACCUUUGCGCAGGAUAACAGCGCCAGCGUGCAGAAUUCCAUGUACAAGAUGGCGGAGCAGAUCCUGGCUGUGCAGCCGUUGCUGGAGACUGUGGAGUAUUCGCUGCCGAAUAACCACUAUUUUGAGUUGGACUUGAGCUGGCACAAGGGCAUCAAGAACACGGGUAAAAACGCGGAAGUUUACGUACCGCAGUCGGGCCCGAAUGGUCUUAUCAAGUGCAAAGUGGGCCGGGCCGGAGGAAACCGUCGGGAGACGCCGAAGUUAUAGAAACGAGAGCAAUUUUGUCAUUCCAACACUUACGUAGACCAGGGGUUGGGAGAGAAGGGGCGUACAAUAUCGGUAGAGAUAAGAUAAGAUGUUUAGAAGUUGCCAGUUGCUAGGAGUUUUUCGCCGAUUUUGUUUAUAUACUAGAGGUUAUACGGGAGGGCCUCAAGUCCCAGUGGCGAUACUUAAUGUUAGCCAGUAAGUUGAUUUAGUUGUACAGUACAAUACAUUUAUAAAAGGAGAGAGAGAAAGGGACAAACUUGUUCUAUCCCUAUACAUGAACACCUUGUAUGCAGUAGGAAAGAAAAACAGUGAAACAGGAAAUCGCGGGGGGAAAAUCCAAUAGCAAAGCAAAGAGCAGGAGAACGAAGCAAAGUUUUUAUUUCAAUGUAAUCAGGAUGUUGUUUGCUCAAACCCAGUCUCUGCUCCUUUCUCCUUCGCAAACGCUUCUUUAAUUAGCGGUGAAUCCGCGAUGGAGUUCGUGGGGCCCAGGACGCUCUUGCCGGCCAAUUUCAGGAUAUUCUUCUUGUACGGAUGCGCAUGACCUUCAAACACUUUCAGCCUCGCCAAUCUCUUGUCCCUCAGCCGAUUCUUCGGCAACAUACCGCUGACCGCCUUCCGCAGCACCUCGCCGCCACCCCACUUCUCAAACAUCUUGUCCAUCGUCAUCGACUUCAGGCUGCCGGGCCGCGUGUUGUGUGUGUAGUACAGCUUCUUGAAUCGCUUCUUGCCCGUCGUAUGCAGGUCAUGGCAGCCGACGGCCACGACGUAGUCGCCGCAGUCCGUCGACGGGUCCCAGAUCGGCUUGUGCUUGCCCAUCAGGAAUACAGCGAUGGAGGACGCGAGUCGGCCCAGGCUGCGCGGGUCGCGGCUGACGUCUAUAUAAUGCCAUGUUCGCGAGUAGGCGAGGCGGGUCCGUCCGACGGUCUGUGACAUUGUUGCGGGAAUAUGGCUAUCGAUGCAUGGGUGAGGAAUGUAUGGGAGUUGGGAGCCCGGGGAAAGGAAGGUUGCUCCCUCAAAACAGGAAUAGGGGAAAAUGGACGGCUCCUGGGGUC
This 2351-nucleotide small RNA is filed under the name Histoplasma capsulatum var. duboisii H88. Its description in RNAcentral is "Histoplasma capsulatum H88 hypothetical RNA". The record is from RNAcentral. Lineage: Eukaryota; Fungi; Ascomycota; Eurotiomycetes; Onygenales; Ajellomycetaceae.